GACGAACGCUGGCGGCGUGCUUAACACAUGCAAGUCGAGCGGUAAGGCUCCUUCGGGGGUACACGAGCGGCGAACGGGUGAGUAACACGUGAGUAAUCUGCCCUUCACUUCGGGAUAGCUUCGGGAAACCGAAAUUAAUACCGGAUACGACUACCGAUUGCAUGAUCUGGUGGUGGAAAGUUUUUUCGGUGGGGGAUGUGCUCGCGGCCUAUCAGCUUGUUGGUGGGGUAAUGGCCUACCAAGCCGACGAUCCAUAGCUGGUUUGAGAGGAUGAUCAGCCACACUGGGACUGAGACACGGCCCAGACUCCUACGGGAGGCAGCAGUGGGGAAUAUUGGACAAUGGGGGAAACCCUGAUCCAGCAACGCCGCGUGAGGGAUGACGGCCUUCGGGUUGUAAACCUCUUUCAGCUCCGACGAAGUCACUCGUUGAGGGUGGUGACGGUAGGUGCAGAAGAAGGACCGGCCAACUACGUGCCAGCAGCCGCCGUAA
RNAcentral lists this ribosomal RNA (492 nucleotides) under uncultured bacterium. RNAcentral's name for it is "partial 16S ribosomal RNA". It matches the Rfam family "Bacterial small subunit ribosomal RNA", at positions 28 to 523 of the family's 1533-position model. The record is from RNAcentral.